Molecule: ribosomal RNA, 585 nt
Filed under: uncultured eukaryote
Lineage: Eukaryota
Description: bacterial SSU rRNA
Rfam family: Eukaryotic small subunit ribosomal RNA
Source: RNAcentral
GAAACUGCGAACGGCUCAUUAAAUCAGUUGCGAUCUACUCGGCGUUCCGCGCCGCCGGAUAACCGUAGUAAUUCUAGGGCUAAUACGUGCGAAGCGCCCGAAGCCGCGAGGCGACGGGCGUUCUCGCCGGAUGUAGGAACCGACCCGGGGACCGCCGGGGCAACCCGGCGCCCCCGAGACGGGGCGAACCACGGUGAAAUGACGGAUCGUCGGCCCCGCGCCGGCGACUCGCCGAAUGAGUUUCUGACCUAUCAACUCGAGACGGCGGGGUAGAGGCCCCGCCGCGGUAACGACGGGUAACGGGGAAUCAGGGUUCGAUUCCGGAGAGGGAGCCCGAGAAACGGCUACCACUUCCAAGGAAGGCAGCAGGCGCGCAACUUACCCUAAUCUCGAUUCGAGGAGGUAGUGACAAGAAUACCGAUGCGGGACCCUACGGGUGCCGCGUUCGGAAUGAGUACGAUUCGAACCACCUAACGAGGAACGAUCGGAGGGCAAGUCUGGUGCCAGCAGCCGCGGUAAUUCCAGCUCCAAUAGCGUACGUUAAAGUUGCUGCAGUUAAAAGCUACGUAGUUGAACGUUCGGGUU